Molecule: ribosomal RNA, 483 nt
Filed under: Bacillus subtilis
Lineage: Bacteria; Bacillati; Bacillota; Bacilli; Caryophanales; Bacillaceae
Description: bacterial SSU rRNA
Rfam family: Bacterial small subunit ribosomal RNA
Source: RNAcentral
GCCGCGUCAGUGCUCAAGGUUUUCGGAUCGUCAAGCUCUGUUGUUACGGAAGAACAAGUACCGUUCGAAUACGGCGGUACCUUCACGGUACCUUACCAGAAAGCCACGGCAAACUACGUGCCAGCAGCCGCGGUAAUACGUCGGUGGCAAGCGUUGUCCGGAAUUAUUGGGCGUAAAGGGCUCGCAGGCGGUUUCUUCAGUCUCAUGAGAAAGCCCCCGGCUCAACCGGGGAGGGUCAUUGGAAACUGGGGAACUAGAGUGCAGAAGAGGAGAGUGGAAUUCCACGUGUAUCGGAGAAAUGCGUCGAGAUGUGGAGGAACACCAGUGGCGAAGGCGACUCUCUGGUCUGUUACUGCCGCUGAGGAGCGAAAGCGUGGGGAGCGAACAGGAUUUCAUACCCUGGUACUCCACGCCGUCAACGAAGAGUGCUCAGUGUUAUGGGGUUUCCGCCCCUUCGUGCUGCAGCUCACGCAUUCAGCACUC